Non-coding RNA from Rattus norvegicus (Norway rat), 420 nucleotides. NCBI's taxonomy places the organism in Eukaryota, Metazoa, Chordata, Mammalia, Rodentia, Muridae. The record is from the annotation of a RefSeq genome assembly.
CUUAGCUGGCUGUGCAGUCUCUGUAGGAGUCAGUCCCAGUCAGGACAUAGUAUGGCCAUGAAGACGCCUGCCCAGGCAUUGGCAAUUUGGUUACUCUGGGUCUCAGGUGCCAGAUGUGAUAUUCAAGUGACUCAAUCUCCAUCCUCCCUCUUGGCAUCUCUAGGAGAGAGAGUCACUAUCACAUGCCAGACAAGUCAGAGCAUUAGCAAUAACCUAAACUGGUAUCAGCAGAAACCAGGACAAGCUCCUAUGCUCUUGAUCUAUUAUGCAACCAGUUUGCAGACUGGCAUGCCAUCAAGGUUCAGUGGCCAAUAUUCUGGGAGAAGUUUCACUCUAACCAUCACUAGCCUGGAGCCAGAAGAUAUUGCAAAUUAUUUUUGUCUGCAGCAUUACAGUGCUCCUCACACAGUGAUAUAAGCC